Molecule: long non-coding RNA, 222 nt
Organism: Saccostrea echinata
Lineage: Eukaryota; Metazoa; Mollusca; Bivalvia; Ostreida; Ostreidae
Exons: 3
Source: RefSeq, a predicted model, not a curated record
AAGCUCAUCUCCUAUGUAAACACCUAAAUGCCAAGUCUGGACUUCAAAAACAAAUUCUGAAAGUUUAACCAGCAUUAUGGACAAAAAGUAUACACUUCGAACAGACACAAAAACAUAUAGGUCCAUGCCAAGCUAUGAAAGAUUUAUGCUGAGGAUGAAAGGGAAUUGCAGAAGAAUGAAUUGAUGUUAACAUCUCAACAUUAAAAUUGGCUUAAAUUUGAA